Molecule: long non-coding RNA, 1163 nt
Filed under: Macaca fascicularis (crab-eating macaque)
Lineage: Eukaryota; Metazoa; Chordata; Mammalia; Primates; Cercopithecidae
Description: lncRNA (ENSMFAG00000062912.1)
Source: RNAcentral
AAUGACAUGAAAGUUAUUUUAGCAGUCAGACUGUUGCAACAUAUCUUGAAAUUUCAAUCUUUCUGUUUUUCUUUCCCCCUCUUCCUUGGGAGAGAUUUGUCUCCUGAUGAGUCAGAGGUAUCCACAUUACCUUGGGAUGAAGUGGAAUGGUUAUGGAGAUGAAGUGGAAAAAUACAUUCAGGCUUGUUUUGAAAAUCAAAAUGGAAAGUCUGAAGGAAGCAGAACAUUGAAUUUUUACCAUGACCAUGUAAUUAAAAGCAUACAUUCUUUCUUCUUGCCAGGGAAAAGAGCCAGGAUGGGCUGGGACCCUAUGUGGGAGACUAUUUUUCCAUGACUUUAUUAAUUGUUCUGAAAAAGCUUGUGAUAGCUUUGUUCUAGGCUAGCCUUUCAAGGCUGUUUUCAAAUCAAACAGCCUUGCAAGGUGGAGCUAUUGUCUCUUUCUGGGGCAGGGAACAAAUUUUUUUUCCGAACAGUGUAAUAAAUGUUUCCCUCUGGGCAAAGUUUGGGCGUAUUUGCUAGCAGUGCCAUUAGAAGAGUGGGGAUUGCCUAAGGUUGGAGUUCCUCAGCUUUGACACAAACCCACUGUGCACAGCAUACACCUGGACGCACAUUCACAUGGCCCCCUUGAUACUUGGGGAGUAAGGAAAACUGAUGUAAAUGUAAAACUCAUGUCACUACCUGCCAUGCCAUCAGUAAGAAAGUCAGUUGUCUCAGACAUAAGGUGUCUCAUGUAUCUGCCAAGUUUAAUAAAAGUGUAGAAAGCUAGUGUGUAGCUUGCAAGUAGGAUAAAAGCUCACACUCUUAACAGUUCUUGGCCACCCUAGAUCUGGGACAGAGGACAAUAGGCCAAGUGCUGGGGAAUGAGACACUCACUGAAGAGGAGCAGAGGCUCCUUUCAGUGUUGAGAGAUUGCCAAGGACCUAUAUAGGGAAGUAUCAGAGACUCCUCCAGAGCCUAAAACACCUGCAGAACAUUUAUUUGCAUUGGAACAAACACUACAUACACUUCAUCUAUGUUCUGGCAGUAGUUCUCAGCCAAGAGCAAAAUCAUUUCCCUAGUGAAUUUUAGAAAUGUGUGUAGGGAGGUUUGGGGGUUUUGUUUGUUUAUUUGUUUGUUUGAGACGGAGUCUCGCUCUGUUGCCAGACUGGAGUGUAGUGGCACGA